RNAcentral lists this ribosomal RNA (241 nucleotides) under uncultured bacterium. Its description in RNAcentral is "partial 16S ribosomal RNA". It matches the Rfam family "Bacterial small subunit ribosomal RNA", at positions 99 to 334 of the family's 1533-position model. The record is from RNAcentral.
CGCACGGGUGAGUAACACGUGGAUAAUGUACCCUUGGGCUUGGAAUAACCUACCGAAAGGUGGGCUAAUACCAAAUACGUUUCUUUUUGGUUCGCCUUAAAGAAGGAAAGCGGGGCAACUCGCACCCAUGGAUCAGUCCGCGUCCUAUCAGCUAGUUGGUGAGGUAAUGGCUCACCAAGGCAACGACGGGUAGCUGGUCUGAGAGGACGAUCAGCCACACUGGGACUGGAACACGGCCCAG